This 529-nucleotide ribosomal RNA is filed under the name uncultured bacterium. RNAcentral describes it as "bacterial SSU rRNA". It matches the Rfam family "Bacterial small subunit ribosomal RNA", at positions 777 to 1304 of the family's 1533-position model. The record is from RNAcentral.
AAUAGAUACCCGGGUAGUCCACGCCCUAAACGAUGCGAACUGGAUGUUGGGUACAUUACGGUACUCAGUGUCGAAGCUAACGCGUUAAGUUCGCCGCCUGGGGAGUACGGUCGCAAGACUGAAACUCAAAGGAAUUGACGGGGGCCCGCACAAGCGGUGGAGUAUGUGGUUUAAUUCGAUGCAACGCGAAGAACCUUACCUGGCCUUGACAUCUGUCGAAUCCUGCAGAGAUGCGGGAGUGCCGCAAGGAACGACAAGACAGGUGCUGCAUGGCUGUCGUCAGCUCGUGUCGUGAGAUGUUGGGUUAAGUCCCGCAACGAGCGCAACCCUUGUCCCUAGUUGCCAGCACGUAAUGGUGGGAACUCUAGGGAGACUGCCGGUGACAAACCGGAGGAAGGUGGGGAUGACGUCAAGUCCUCAUGGCCCUUACGGCCAGGGCUACACACGUACUACAAUGGUCGGUACAGAGGGUUGCGAAGCCGCGAGGUGGAGCCAAUCCCAGAAAACCGAUCCCAGUCCGGAUCGGAGU